AUUGAACGCUGGCGGCAUGCCUUACACAUGCAAGUCGAACGGCAGCACGGACUUCGGUCUGGUGGCGAGUGGCGAACGGGUGAGUAAUGUAUCGGAACGUACCUUUCAGUGGGGGAUAACGUAGCGAAAGUUACGCUAAUACCGCAUAUUCUGUGAGCAGGAAAGCAGGGGAUCGCAAGACCUUGCGCUGAUUGAGCGGCCGAUAUCAGAUUAGCUAGUUGGUGAGGUAAAGGCUCACCAAGGCGACGAUCUGUAGCGGGUCUGAGAGGAUGAUCCGCCACACUGGAACUGAGACACGGUCCAGACUCCUACGGGAGGCAGCAGUGGGGAAUUUUGGACAAUGGGGGCAACCCUGAUCCAGCCAUGCCGCGUGAGUGAAGAAGGCCUCGGUU
This 392-nucleotide ribosomal RNA is filed under the name uncultured bacterium. RNAcentral describes it as "bacterial SSU rRNA". It matches the Rfam family "Bacterial small subunit ribosomal RNA", at positions 30 to 424 of the family's 1533-position model. The record is from RNAcentral.